RNAcentral lists this ribosomal RNA (253 nucleotides) under uncultured bacterium. RNAcentral describes it as "partial 16S ribosomal RNA". It matches the Rfam family "Bacterial small subunit ribosomal RNA", at positions 524 to 776 of the family's 1533-position model. The record is from RNAcentral.
UACGUGGGCAGCAAGCGUUGUUCGGAGUUACUGGGCGUAAAGGGUGCGUAGGUGGCUCUAUAAGUAUGGUGUGAAAUCUCCCGGCUUAACUGGGAGGGUGCGCCGUAGACUGUGGGGCUAGAGUGUGGGAGAGGAAAGUGGAAUUCCUGGUGUAGCGGUGAAAUGCGUAGAUAUCAGGAGGAACACCGGUGGCGAAGGCGGGUCUCUGGGCCGAUACUGACGCUGAGGAGCGAAAGCGUGGGGAGCAAACAGG